Molecule: ribosomal RNA, 1424 nt
Filed under: Staphylococcus aureus
Lineage: Bacteria; Bacillati; Bacillota; Bacilli; Caryophanales; Staphylococcaceae
Description: bacterial SSU rRNA
Rfam family: Bacterial small subunit ribosomal RNA
Source: RNAcentral
CUGCCUAAUACAUGCAAGUCGAGCGAACGGACGAGAAGCUUGCUUCUCUGAUGUUAGCGGCGGACGGGUGAGUAACACGUGGAUAACCUACCUAUAAGACUGGGAUAACUUCGGGAAACCGGAGCUAAUACCGGAUAAUAUUUUGAACCGCAUGGUUCAAAAGUGAAAGACGGUCUUGCUGUCACUUAUAGAUGGAUCCGCGCUGCAUUAGCUAGUUGGUAAGGUAACGGCUUACCAAGGCAACGAUGCAUAGCCGACCUGAGAGGGUGAUCGGCCACACUGGAACUGAGACACGGUCCAGACUCCUACGGGAGGCAGCAGUAGGGAAUCUUCCGCAAUGGGCGAAAGCCUGACGGAGCAACGCCGCGUGAGUGAUGAAGGUCUUCGGAUCGUAAAACUCUGUUAUUAGGGAAGAACAUAUGUGUAAGUAACUGUGCACAUCUUGACGGUACCUAAUCAGAAAGCCACGGCUAACUACGUGCCAGCAGCCGCGGUAAUACGUAGGUGGCAAGCGUUAUCCGGAAUUAUUGGGCGUAAAGCGCGCGUAGGCGGUUUUUUAAGUCUGAUGUGAAAGCCCACGGCUCAACCGUGGAGGGUCAUUGGAAACUGGAAAACUUGAGUGCAGAAGAGGAAAGUGGAAUUCCAUGUGUAGCGGUGAAAUGCGCAGAGAUAUGGAGGAACACCAGUGGCGAAGGCGACUUUCUGGUCUGUAACUGACGCUGAUGUGCGAAAGCGUGGGGAUCAAACAGGAUUAGAUACCCUGGUAGUCCACGCCGUAAACGAUGAGUGCUAAGUGUUAGGGGGUUUCCGCCCCUUAGUGCUGCAGCUAACGCAUUAAGCACUCCGCCUGGGGAGUACGACCGCAAGGUUGAAACUCAAAGGAAUUGACGGGGACCCGCACAAGCGGUGGAGCAUGUGGUUUAAUUCGAAGCAACGCGAAGAACCUUACCAAAUCUUGACAUCCUUUGACAACUCUAGAGAUAGAGCCUUCCCCUUCGGGGGACAAAGUGACAGGUGGUGCAUGGUUGUCGUCAGCUCGUGUCGUGAGAUGUUGGGUUAAGUCCCGCAACGAGCGCAACCCUUAAGCUUAGUUGCCAUCAUUAAGUUGGGCACUCUAAGUUGACUGCCGGUGACAAACCGGAGGAAGGUGGGGAUGACGUCAAAUCAUCAUGCCCCUUAUGAUUUGGGCUACACACGUGCUACAAUGGACAAUACAAAGGGCAGCGAAACCGCGAGGUCAAGCAAAUCCCAUAAAGUUGUUCUCAGUUCGGAUUGUAGUCUGCAACUCGACUACAUGAAGCUGGAAUCGCUAGUAAUCGUAGAUCAGCAUGCUACGGUGAAUACGUUCCCGGGUCUUGUACACACCGCCCGUCACACCACGAGAGUUUGUAACACCCGAAGCCGGUGGAGUAACCUUUUAGGAG